CCCUUAGAUGUCCUGGGCCGCACACGCGCUACACUGGCAGGUUCAUCGAGCUUCAUGCCCUGAUCUGAGAAGAACGGGAAAUCUUUGAACACCUGCCGUGCUUGGGAUAGAUGUUUGCAAUUAUUCAUCUUCAACGAGGAUUGCCUUGUAAGCGCACGUCAUCAGCGUGCAUUGAAUACGACCCUGUAUUCUGUACACACCGCCCGUCGCUCCUACCGAUUGAAGUUUUCGGUGAAUUUACUGGAGAUCCCUUUUGAAGGUGGUUCGCCACUGGAAGAAGUAUUCAAAAGUAAAUGAAUCGAAUGCUUUAGAGGAAGGAGAAGUCGUAACA
Molecule: ribosomal RNA, 331 nt
Filed under: uncultured eukaryote
Lineage: Eukaryota
Description: partial 18S ribosomal RNA
Rfam family: Eukaryotic small subunit ribosomal RNA
Source: RNAcentral